UCUGAGUCUGCAACCGAUCAUGAUGCUCAAUAACGUAUGAACACGCGUCGUUUGGUGGUUCCCUUUGCAGCGAGUCAGGAAGUAGGUGUGAGCCUGACAAGUACCGCUGAACGAUAUCAGUUCACAGUUGUCCUGCCGAAGUUGGUAAGCGGGACCGGUUGAUCACCGUUAGUCAAUCACUGAGGGGGACUUGUUCCCUGAAGUUAGGUGGUACCACGUUUGCUCGUCCUAAUAUUAGGGCGGGCUUUUUUGAUUUCAAUUAAUAAAGGAGCGGGUCACGUGAAAAUUAAAGAUACCUUGAACAUGGGUAAAACCAGUUUCCCAAUGCGCGCUGGUUUACCGAAGAAUGAACCGAUUUGGCAGAAAAAGUGGGAUGAGGACCACGUCUAUGAGCAACGCCAAAAAUUAAAUGAAGGCAAGCCAACGUUUAUGCUACAUGAUGGCCCGCCAUUUGCGAAUGGCAAUAUUCAUAUGGGUCACGCCUUGAAUAAGAUCAGUAAAGAUAUUAUUGUUCGCUACAAAUCCAUGAAUGGCUUCCGGGCGCCUUACGUUCCUGGUUGGGAUACUCACGGGUUGCCGAUUGAACAGCAACUAGCGAAACAAGGUGUGAAGCGCAAGGAAAUGUCGAUGACCGAUUAUCGUGAACUUUGUCGGCAGUUUGCCAUGCAGGAAAUCGAUAAACAGCGCACUGACUUUAAACGCCUAGGCGUGAUGGGUGACUGGGAACAUCCUUACAUUACGCUGCAGCAUCAUUAUGAAGCCAGUGAAAUUCGGGUUUUUGGUGCCAUGGCGAAAAAGGGCUACAUCUAUCAUGGCUUGAAGCCGGUUUACUGGUCAUGGUCAUCUGAAUCGACUCUGGCCGAAGCCGAGAUUGAAUAUCACGAUGAUAAAUCACCAUCCAUUUACGUCGCCUUUAAAGUGGUGGAUGGCAAGGGCUUACUUGACACUGAUACCUAUCUGGUCAUCUGGACCACCACACCUUGGACCAUUCCGGCUAACUAUGGGAUUACGGUUAAUCCGCGGUUCGAUUACGUUCAGGUUCAAGUUGGCGACAAAAAGUACGUGGUUGCUGCCGAAUUACUUGAUCGCGUAGCUGAAGAAAUUGGCUGGGAAAAUCCGAAGAUCCUGAAAACCUUUAAGGGCACGGAUAUGGAUAAAAUGACUGCUCAGCAUCCUUUAUAUGAUCGCACGAGUCUUGUCAUGAAUGCUGAUCAUGUCACGUUGGAUGCUGGGACUGGACUUGUCCAUACAGCGCCUGGUCAUGGGGAAGAUGACUACAAAGUCGGGGUUAAAUACGGCUUGCCUGUCGUCUCAGUAGUUGAUGCCAAAGGUUACAUGAAUGAAUAUGCGCCUGGUUUUGAAGGUGUCUUUUAUGAUGAUGCCAACAAGCAGAUCACCCAAGCACUGGCUGAUAAAGGCGCCCUGCUGAAGCUUGAUUUCUUCACCCAUAGCUAUCCGCAUGACUGGCGGACAAAGAAGCCGGUUAUUUUCCGGGCAACGACACAAUGGUUUGCGUCAAUUGAUGCUUUCCGUGAUCAGAUUCUAAAGGCUAUUGAUACGGUUGACUU
Molecule: ribosomal RNA, 1568 nt
Filed under: Lacticaseibacillus paracasei
Lineage: Bacteria; Bacillati; Bacillota; Bacilli; Lactobacillales; Lactobacillaceae
Description: Lactobacillus paracasei 16S ribosomal RNA
Source: RNAcentral